AACCUCCAAAAACGUGCGUUUGAUUUAAAUGUUCCACAAAACCGUCCCCUCUAAACGCCUGCGAUUCCCACAACUGGUGCUACUUUCGCGUAAUUAGGGCCACAAUCCCUUCGUUAAAUCCACUUUAAUCGACUUUCGUGGCUCCAAAAGCAUGACAACUGUCCCUAACCUCAAACCACCAGCUCAAGUAGCUGGGUUAACAACUUUGGACAAGAAUUUGUUCAAGAAAAACAUAACCGUCCCGUGUCUCAUCCUUAAGAACGUGAAAAUCUCAUCAGUCUUGCCAUUCGUGAAAAAUUACUUGUUAAAAAUUGAGAAUUUUAAGCCGGUUUGUAACGUAACCACGGGGGAAUCCCACGUUUACUUCAACCCGGAAAUAAUAGGGGCUUUUAGUGACUUGCCGCCAGAAACGCAAAAAUUGCUAAACGACCUGUGCGUGCAACUCGAAUUAAAGCCGUUGACUUUAAACUACGAGAAUUUUUCGAUUGAGGGCGUUUUUCGCGCCGUGCUUCCCCCGAAUGUCGAGGGGAUGUCGAGUUUUACUAAAGUGGGGCACAUUGUGCACGUUAACCUGCGCGAACACCUCGUUCCGUUUAAAGACAUAAUUGGGCAAGUGUUGUUUGAUAAAGUGCCCAAUUGUCGGACUGUGGUCAAUAAAGUGGGGAGUAUUGAUAACACGUAUCGGAAUUUCCAGAUGGAGGUUUUAAGGGGCGAAAACGACACGCAAACGCACGUUAGGGAAAAUAAAUGUGUGUUUGAGUUUGAUUUUGCGAAAGUGUACUGGAAUUCUAGACUCUGCACUGAACACGAAAGAAUUGUCAAUAUGAUAGAGAGUGGUGAUGUUGUGUUUGAUGUUUUCGCGGGGGUUGGGCCGUUUUCCGUGCCUUUGGCUAGGAAAAAGUGCCAGGUUUUUGCCAAUGAUCUCAAUCCCGAGUCCUUUAAAUGGCUAAAUCACAACUUUAAAAUAAACAAAGUUGGGGAAAAUUACUUUAAGAGUUAUAAUAAGGACGGGCGGGAGUUUAUCUUGGGCGAGGUUAAGGAGUUGUUGCCGAAAUUUUCGGCCAAAAAUGUUUUUAUUCUGAUGAAUCUUCCGGCACUGGCCGUUGAUUUUUUAACAACUUUUGUUGAUUUAUUCUCAAAUGAUGAGUUACCAGAAUUUGGGAAACACCCAGUUGUCGUAGUUUAUUGCUUUGCCAAAGGCGAGGAUUUCAUAAACAUUGCCAAAAAAUCACUUUGUGAAAAAAUCGGUCGGAAUGUUGAAGAAAAAAUUACCGAUGUGUUUCGUGUGCGCACCGUCAGCUCGCUCAAAGAAAUGAUGAGGAUCACGUUCAAGUUAGACCGCGAAAUUUUGGUCAAAAAUUACGUACGGAAACGAAAAAAUUCCUGCGUUGGCGUUGAAUCCAAAAAACUCUGUGAUGGGGAAAAACAAGAAGAAGCUCAAUAGUGUGUUCAAGGUCGCCGGGGCCAAAAGCUUGAAGCUCAAGGCCAAGGCGAAAGCUGUCAAAAGUGAGCUCAAACAGAUUAAUAAUAAAAAUAAGGCCAAGAUAACGGAAAUUGAUAAGGAACUCGUCAACUUGCAGGAAAAAGUCCGAAAUUCGACCGGUGACCAGAAGAAAGAAACUAAAAAUAAAACCAAAUUACCGUCACGUCAGAAUGUGACGAAGGAGGUUGGUGAAAAGUCGCAAGACACUUUGAAGCAAUUGAAUGCCAUGCAGUUGUAGAUCAUAAAAUAAAUCGUUUAUUACGUUA
Molecule: RNA transcript, 1749 nt
Organism: Tribolium castaneum (red flour beetle)
Lineage: Eukaryota; Metazoa; Arthropoda; Insecta; Coleoptera; Tenebrionidae
Exons: 3
Source: RefSeq, a predicted model, not a curated record